AACGAACGCUGGCGGCAUGCCUAACACAUGCAAGUCGAACGAGACCUUCGGGUCUAGUGGCGCACGGGUGCGUAACGCGUGGGAACCUGCCCUUAGGUUCGGAAUAACUCAGAGAAAUUUGAGCUAAUACCGGAUAAUGUCUUCGGACCAAAGAUUUAUCGCCUUUGGAUGGGCCCGCGUAGGAUUAGCUUGUUGGUGGGGUAAUGGCCUAUCAAGGCGACGAUCCUUAGCUGGUCUGAGAGGAUGAUCAGCCACACUGGGACUGAGACACGGCCCAGACUCCUACGGGAGGCAGCAGUGGGGAAUAUUGGACAAUGGGCGAAAGCCUGAUCCAGCAAUGCCGCGUGAGUGAUGAAGGCCUUAGGGUUGUAAAGCUCUUUUACCAGGGAUGAUAAUGACAGUACCUGGAGAAUAAGCGCCGGCUAACUCCGUG
RNAcentral lists this ribosomal RNA (433 nucleotides) under uncultured bacterium. RNAcentral's name for it is "partial 16S ribosomal RNA". It matches the Rfam family "Bacterial small subunit ribosomal RNA", at positions 29 to 507 of the family's 1533-position model. The record is from RNAcentral.